CCUUGAUGACCAUCAAACAUUGUUACUUUGGCGGGCCGUGGUUUUGCCCCGCCGGCUUCGGUCAGCGAGUGCCCGCCGAAGGUUUUUCAAACUCUUGCUCGAACAAACUUUGUCUGAAUUUUUGAAAAUGAAUGCAGCUAAAAACUUUCAACAACGGAUCUCUUGGUUCUGGCAUCGAUGAAGAACGCAGCGAAAUGCGAUAAGUAAUGUGAAUUGCAGAAUUCAGUGAAUCAUCGAAUCUUUGAACGCAUAUUGCGCCCUCUGGUAUUCCGGGGGGCAUGCCUGUUCGAGCGUCGUUAUCAUCCCUCGAGCCUCCCCUUUGGGGUCGGCACGGUCUUGGGAGGUCGUUUCCGCCCCGGCGGAGGCGCCCCCGAAAACGAGCGGCGGUUCGGCGAGAAUCCCAGCGCACUAAAACUUCAAAAAAGUCUCGCUGAUGGACCCUCUCCCCGGCCGGCCGGCCAACCCCACAUUGCCCGGGCAGCGGCAUGUUAGCAACCGAUCGACCUCGGAUCAGGCAGGAAUACCCGCUGAACUUAAGCAUAUCAAUA
This 548-nucleotide ribosomal RNA is filed under the name Fissurina insidiosa. RNAcentral describes it as "eukaryotic LSU rRNA". The stretch from base 143 to 296 matches the Rfam family "5.8S ribosomal RNA". The record is from RNAcentral. Lineage: Eukaryota; Fungi; Ascomycota; Lecanoromycetes; Ostropales; Graphidaceae.